RNAcentral lists this ribosomal RNA (301 nucleotides) under uncultured bacterium. Its description in RNAcentral is "partial 16S ribosomal RNA". It matches the Rfam family "Bacterial small subunit ribosomal RNA", at positions 509 to 807 of the family's 1533-position model. The record is from RNAcentral.
CAGUCGCCGCGGGAAUACGUAGGGUGCAAGCGUUAAUCGGAAUUACUGGGCGUAAAGCGUGCUCAGGCGGUUAUAUAAGACAGAUGUGAAAUCCCCGGGCUCAACCUGGGAACUGCAUUUGUGACUGUAUAGCUAGAGUACGGCAGAGGGGGAUGGAAUUCCGCGUGUAGCAGUGAAAUGCGUAGAUAUGCGGAGGAACACCGAUGGCGAAGGCAAUCCCCUGGGCCUGUACUGACGCUCAUGCACGAAAGCGUGGGGAGCAAACAGGAUUAGAUACCCCAGUAGUCCCUGUCUCUUAUAC